RNAcentral lists this ribosomal RNA (395 nucleotides) under Protaspa sp. RNAcentral's name for it is "partial small subunit ribosomal RNA". It matches the Rfam family "Eukaryotic small subunit ribosomal RNA", at positions 582 to 975 of the family's 1831-position model. The record is from RNAcentral. Lineage: Eukaryota; Cercozoa; Thecofilosea; Cryomonadida; Protaspidae.
AUUCCAGCUCCAAGAGCGUAUAUUAAAGUUGUUGCAGUUAAAAAGCUCGUAGUUGGAUUUCUGGUAUAAUGCGCCUGGCCCGCUCCGUUUCGGAGUGAGUGCCGGUGCGCGUUUGCCAUCCUUCUAGAAAAUGUUUCUACCCUUCGCUGGGCCGGAUUCACGAUCUAGAUCUUUUACUUUGAAAAAAUUAGAGUGUUUAAAGCAGGCUUUUGCUAUGAAUACAUUAGCAUGGAAUAAUAAUCUAGGACUUCGGUUCUAUUUUGUUGGUUUCUAGUACUGAAGUAAUGAUUGAUAGGGAUAGUUGGGGGUGCUAGUAUUGGCCGGCCAGAGGUGAAAUUCUUGGAUUCGGUCAAGACUAACUUAUGCGAAAGCAUUCACCAAGGAUGUCUUCAUCG